RNAcentral lists this transfer RNA (75 nucleotides) under Halogeometricum borinquense DSM 11551. Its description in RNAcentral is "tRNA-Ala". It matches the Rfam family "tRNA". From Rfam's summary of the family: Transfer RNA (tRNA) molecules are approximately 80 nucleotides in length. Their secondary structure includes four short double-helical elements and three loops (D, anti-codon, and T loops). Lineage: Archaea; Methanobacteriati; Methanobacteriota; Halobacteria; Halobacteriales; Haloferacaceae. The record is from RNAcentral.
GGGCUCGUAGAUCAGGGGUAGAUCACUCCCUUGGCAUGGGAGAGGCCCCGGGUUCAAAUCCCGGCGAGUCCACUA